CCACCUCUCCCCCUCAGUGUUGUCACAGGCAGAGGGAGGGACCAGCAGGGACUGGGCCUGAGAGCAGUGACAGAGGCCCAGGCAGGGCAGGUGUGGGCAGAGCUGUUGUGCAGGCACAGAGGAGCUGGAGAGAGGCCACUGAGAGCGGGCCUGGCCAUGUGGAGUGCCCUGUGCGUGGGCUUCUUGCCCAUUGUAGCUGUCACUGGUCAGGUGGCCUUGGAGCAGAACCCAAGGGAAGUGACCGUGCAAGAGGGAAAUGGAGUCACCCUCAAGUGCGAUAUGAAGAGAGGUUAUAUGAGCAGGUACUACAUGCACUGGUACCGUCAGGGCCCACGGGGUAAGGAAUGGAUUUCCACGGACAGUACUACCUAUGAAGGUUUCCAAGAUCGCUUUAAGGCAAGACUGGAGAGCUCCAAGAACAGCUAUACAUUGCAGAUCCUGGCAGCAGAGCCAGGCGAUGCAGCAACGUAUUACUGUAGAGCAGACCCACCCUGGAGCAGCUCUGCAGCAGAGUGAACCAAAAACCAGCAGCUGGGGAAGACAGAUCUCUCACCAUUUCUUUCUGGCAGCUGCUCCCCAGGGCUCUUGUCAGGCAAUGGCAGGUGCAGGAAACGUCCCUCUGGCUGGGUGCCACUAAAAGGCACUGCAGGGAGUGCUGCUGGAAGGGCUGGUGCCAUUGAUGGUGCAGGAGGAUCUGUCCUGGGAACUGCAGAGGCUGCAGUUUGGGGAAGUGCAGGUGUAGUGCACGUUACCUGGGCUCCUGUCCAGCACAGCCUCAUUUCUCCUCAGUGCCUUGGCUGCAGAGCUAUGGAAUGGUGGGGAUGUGCUGCUGGAGCUUCCAGAGGGCUGUGGUGGGUGCAGCCAGGCUGUUUAG
Non-coding RNA from Haemorhous mexicanus (house finch), 874 nucleotides. NCBI's taxonomy places the organism in Eukaryota, Metazoa, Chordata, Aves, Passeriformes, Fringillidae. The record is from the annotation of a RefSeq genome assembly.